GACAGAGGGUGCAAACGUUGUUCGGAAUUACUGGGCGUAAAGCGCGUGUAGGCGGCUCGGAAAGUCGGAUGUGAAAGCCCAGGGCUCAACCCUGGAAGUGCACUCGAAACUCCCGAGCUUGAGUCCCGGAGAGGAAGGCGGAAUUCUCGGUGUAGAGGUGAAAUUCGUAGAUAUCGAGAGGAACACCUGUGGCGAAGGCGGCCUUCUGGACGGUGACUGACGCUGAGACGCGAAAGCGUGGGGAGCAAACAGG
Molecule: ribosomal RNA, 253 nt
Filed under: uncultured bacterium
Lineage: Bacteria
Description: partial 16S ribosomal RNA
Rfam family: Bacterial small subunit ribosomal RNA
Source: RNAcentral